RNAcentral lists this ribosomal RNA (1099 nucleotides) under Oxydothis sp. Its description in RNAcentral is "eukaryotic LSU rRNA". The stretch from base 515 to 1099 matches the Rfam family "Eukaryotic large subunit ribosomal RNA", at positions 1 to 596 of the family's 3401-position model. Lineage: Eukaryota; Fungi; Ascomycota; Sordariomycetes; Amphisphaeriales; Oxydothidaceae. The record is from RNAcentral.
GAUCAUUACAGAGUUAUCAAAACUCCCAAACCAUGUGAACCUACCUACGUUGCCUCGGCGGACGCCAUGUCGGGCGCGGCUUACCCUGAAGCUACCCUGUAGCGGACGGCGCGGCCCGCCCCGCAGGCGCCGCCGGUGGACCCCUAAACUCUUGUAUUUUAGUGGACAUCUGAGCGUCUUAUUAAAUAAGUCAAAACUUUCAACAACGGAUCUCUUGGUUCUGGCAUCGAUGAAGAACGCAGCGAAAUGCGAUAAGUAAUGUGAAUUGCAGAAUUCAGUGAAUCAUCGAAUCUUUGAACGCACAUUGCGCCCGUCAGCAUUCUGGCGGGCAUGCCUGUUCGAGCGUCAUUUCAACCCUUAAGCACAGCUUAGUGUUGGGAAUCCGCGGGCUGCCCCGCGGUUCCCCAAAUCCAGUGGCGGGAACGUGUGUGUCCUCUGAGCGUAGUAAGUUCUCUUUUUCGCUCUGUGAGGCGCCGCGGCCCCUGCCGUAAAACACCCAACUUCUUUUAAUGGUUGACCUCGAAUCAGGUAGGAAUACCCGCUGAACUUAAGCAUAUCAAUAAGCGGAGGAAAAGAAACCAACAGGGAUUGCCCUAGUAACGGCGAGUGAAGCGGCAACAGCUCAAAUUUGAAAUCUGGCCCUCGGGUCCGAGUUGUAAUUUGUAGAGGAUGCUUUUGGCGCGGUGCCUUCCGAGUUCCCUGGAACGGGACGCCUUAGAGGGUGAGAGCCCCGUACGGUUGGACGCCUAGCCUCUGUAAAGCUCCUUCGACGAGUCGAGUAGUUUGGGAAUGCUGCUCAAAAUGGGAGGUAAAUUUCUUCUAAAGCUAAAUACCGGCCAGAGACCGAUAGCGCACAAGUAGAGUGAUCGAAAGAUGAAAAGCACUUUGAAAAGAGGGUUAAAUAGCACGUGAAAUUGUUGAAAGGGAAGCGCUUAUGACCAGACUUUUUCCAGGCGGAUCAUCCGGUGUUCUCACCGGUGCACUUCGCCUGGUUUAGGCCAGCAUCGGUUUCCGCGGGGGGAGAAAAGCUUCGGGAAUGUGGCUCCUCCGGGAGUGUUAUAGCCCGUUGCAUAAUACCCUCGCGGGGACCGAGGUUCGC